RNAcentral lists this non-coding RNA (30 nucleotides) under Rattus norvegicus (Norway rat). Lineage: Eukaryota; Metazoa; Chordata; Mammalia; Rodentia; Muridae. The record is from RNAcentral.
UGGUAGCAUAAUAAAUCUUAUUUCCCAGGU